CAUGAACCAUCCUGUCGGCGGCUGGCUGUAAACAGUGCCGGGCCUACGAGUGAUGUAUUAAUCGCGCGACUCAACGAAUCGAUGACCAAAUUCGUUGCCAACGCUUUUAGGAAUCGAUUGUUAUCGAUUCGUUGUUGCAGCCCUAGUGUAGAAACAAUUCCAUGGUAACGUCUCUGCCACCAGUCUGUGAAUGUAAUUUGUUGACGGUCCCUAAAACAGGUAGCAGCCAGAACGUAGAUGACGUUGUUGCACAGACAUCGAUAGCGACAACAUGUGUUUGUGAUUUUUCGCGAUACGGUGUCCUAAACUGUCCUCAACACCCGUAAUGUAUUGCACUUGUGUUGAUGAAUCAGUUUGGGUGGUAAACCGAAUAUCCGGCGAAUAUCAAACCGGAGGCUAACUUGCACCUGUUGAGGCAGUAUGCUCCGGUAGAGCUGCUCUUUAUUAUCGCGCUAACCGGGGCUAACAGAGCCUGUCUCUUCCCGUCCUAUUAAAUGUACUUAUGGGAGAGAGACCGAUUAAAUCCGGAUAUUUUAAUAAGUAUGGAAGGGGAGAUUUGGAGGUAUCUGGUCAGGCCUUUGUCAGCCUACAAAUCCCAGAUGUGGAGACUGCAGGGAUAUCUCACGGAGAGGACACUAAAGACCCAUCUCUCAUUCAUCGAGUGGACUCAUUGGUUUGCGAAUGACCACAAAGAUGCUCCCAUGGGCAGAUUGCUGCAUGGCAUUUGCCACUUAUUCAAAUUGUAGAGGUUGAAGCAGUCUUCAUUGUGGUCACUUGCCAUAACACUGUCAUGUGUUUUAUCAAAACAACAUCAGUAACAUUUAAAUUGAGUUGAUGUGGACGGCUCUUUUUUUUUGUCCGAUUUUUUCAGUGUUCAGUGCCUGUUUGUGAGAUAUGCAUUGUUUGAAAGAUAAGCCUUUGAUUUUGUUUAAUUUUAAUAUGCCUUUCAUCAACAGUGGUUUGGGGUUUUACAACAACAAUUAAAAUGAUUAACUACUGGUGAACGAAGUUGCAGAACAUAUAUGGUACAAGUUUGUGUUGAUUGCAUGGAAAAGGGAAUAACCAGUUAUAACUUAUAUGGUAAGAGCCUGGUAAUACCAUGGAAACAAACCAGGCUUCCAUUUACACUACAGUUUCAGCUUACUCAGUGGUUAAAUUGUCAUGUUUUACUUAGUAACGUCGCAGAACGCACAUGGUACAAGUUGGUGUUGACUGCAUGGAAAAGGGACUUAUGUAUUACAAAUUAUAUGGUAAGAACCUGGUAAUACCAUGGAAAUAAACGAGGCUUCCUUUUACAGUACAUUUUCAGCUUACUUACUUGGUAAACUGUUGUGUUUUACUUGGUAACGUCGCAGAACGUGCAUGGUACAAGUUUGUGUUGACUGCAUGGAAAAGGGAAUAAUGUAUUACAAAUUAUAUGGUAAGAACCUGGUAAUACCAUGGAAACAAACAAGGCUUCUUUUUACAGUACAGUUUCAGCUUACUUACUGGGUAAAUUGUCGUGUUUUACUUGGUAACGUCGCAGAACGUACAUGGUACAAGUUUGUUUUGAGUGCAUGGAAAAG
RNAcentral lists this long non-coding RNA (1565 nucleotides) under Gadus morhua (Atlantic cod). RNAcentral describes it as "lncRNA (ENSGMOG00000027814.1)". Lineage: Eukaryota; Metazoa; Chordata; Actinopteri; Gadiformes; Gadidae. The record is from RNAcentral.